RNAcentral lists this ribosomal RNA (434 nucleotides) under uncultured Lachnospiraceae bacterium. RNAcentral describes it as "partial 16S ribosomal RNA". It matches the Rfam family "Bacterial small subunit ribosomal RNA", at positions 341 to 792 of the family's 1533-position model. The record is from RNAcentral. Lineage: Bacteria; Bacillati; Bacillota; Clostridia; Lachnospirales; Lachnospiraceae.
ACGGAAGGCAGCAGUGGGGAAUAUUGCACAAUGGGGGAAACCCUGAUGCAGCGACGCCGCGUGAGUGAAGCAGUUAUUCGUAAUGUAAAGCUCUAUCAGCAGGGAAGAAAAUGACGGUACCUGACUAAGAAGCCCCGGCUAACUACGUGCCAGCAGCCGCGGUAAUAAGUAGGGGGCAAGCGUUAUCCGGAUUUACUGGGUGUAAAGGGAGCGUAGACGGCUUAGCAAGUCUGAUGUGAAAGGCAGGGGCUCAACUCCUGGACUGCAUUGGAAACUGUUAAGCUAGAGUGCCGGAGAGGUAAGCGGAAUUCCUAGUGUAGCGGUGAAAUGCGUAGAUAUUAGGAGGAACACCAGUGGCGAAGGCGGCUUACUGGACGGUAACUGACGUUGAGGCUCGAAAGCGUGGGGAGCAAACAGGAUUAGAUACCCUGGUA